This 497-nucleotide ribosomal RNA is filed under the name uncultured bacterium. RNAcentral's name for it is "partial 16S ribosomal RNA". It matches the Rfam family "Bacterial small subunit ribosomal RNA", at positions 28 to 507 of the family's 1533-position model. The record is from RNAcentral.
GAUGAACGCUGGCGGCGUGCCUAAUACAUGCAAGUCGAGCGAACGGACGAGAAGCUUGCUUCUCUGAUGUUAGCGGCGGACGGGUGAGUAACACGUGGAUAACCUACCUAUAAGACUGGGAUAACUUCGGGAAACCGUAGCUAAUACCGGAUAAUAUUUUGAACCGCAUGGUUCAAAAGUGAAAGACGGUCUUGCUGUCACUUAUAGAUGGAUCCGCGCUGCAUUAGCUAGUUGGUAAGGUAACGGCUUACCAAGGCAACGAUGCAUAGCCGACCUGAGAGGGUGAUCGGCCACACUGGAACUGAGACAAGGUCCAGACUCCUACGGGAGGCAGCAGUAGGGAAUCUUCCGCAAUGGGCGAAAGCCUGACGGAGCAACGCCGAGUGAGUGAUGAAGGUCUUCGGAUCAUAAAACUCUGUUAUUAGGGAAGAACAUAUGUGUAAGUAACUGUGCACAUCUUGACGGUACCUAAUCAGAAAGCCACGGCUAACUACGUG